CUAACACAUGCAAGUCGAACGAGACCUUCGGGUCUAGUGGCGCACGGGUGCGUAACGCGUGGGAACCUGCCUUUAGGUUCGGAAUAACUCAGAGAAAUUUGAGCUAAUACCGGAUAAUGUCUUCGGACCAAAGAUUUAUCGCCUUUAGAUGGGCCCGCGUAGGAUUAGCUUGUUGGUGGGGUAAAGGCCUACCAAGGCGACGAUCCUUAGCUGGUCUGAGAGGAUGAUCAGCCACACUGGGACUGAGACACGGCCCAGACUCCUACGGGAGGCAGCAGU
This 279-nucleotide ribosomal RNA is filed under the name uncultured bacterium US9. RNAcentral describes it as "partial 16S ribosomal RNA". It matches the Rfam family "Bacterial small subunit ribosomal RNA", at positions 48 to 355 of the family's 1533-position model. The record is from RNAcentral.